GUGUCACUUCAGAAAGUUUAGGGAAGCCUCCUUCGAGGGACGCCGUCGUCUUUGUUGUGUUUUCUCCUUUGGGGUCACCUCUAGCUGCUGUGCCUUUCAGCCCAGCGCUCUCAGCCCCUGUAGACCGCCAUCUGUCCUAGUGCGGGGUGAUCAGCCAAGGUGUACGUGCCCCUGGUGUAAAGCGUGGCAUAGAAGGGCGUUUCCGAAGGAGAGUUCUGACCUGCCAGGAGACAGGGAAAGUACCACUUGAAAAACCACUUCCCUUGUUCGGAAGGGGGAUGGUGAAAUGGGCGGCCUUCCAGUGAAGGAAAGACCAUGAGUUUCCAGUUGGUUCUCAUCCUUGGUUGCCUUUCUGUCAGUGUGUGUGUGCACACGCAUAAAGGAUGGUAUUCCUGUUUUGAAGUUUUAGAUAGUCUUUUUUUCUGUCUGUUAAAAUGUACACUAGCCUUAGUACCAACUGCUUGUUUAAAUUCUGUUUAAGGUUAGAACUUGGGUGGAGAUAGAAAAUACCAGGUGUUGAGUUUACCUGAUCCAUAGUAUUUUGGAUGAAUCUGGUAAAUGCAAAAAACAAAACACAAGGUCAUUAAUACAAAUGAGUUUGAGUGCAUUUUUUCACACUACACAUGAAACUGUCAGUUUUCUCUUCUGAGAGAAUCAGUGGGUUGUUGCAGUACUAAAAUGAUCAAAUCUCAUAGCUGAACACAUGGGAAAAAUAACUUUUUAUUAUUUAGCAGAAAACUUAUAGCCCAGCUUUGAUUAAAGAUGACUUCCUUGUUCACUCAAGAAGUUCACCUUUCUAAAAGACAUGAAGAAAUAGUAUCACAAAGAUUAAUGUUACUUCAGAAAAUGAAGAAUAAUUUGGGAGAUCAAAACACAGAAAGAGCAUGUCUUCUCCAAGCCACUGAAACUGCUUCAAAAAGGAACCUCAGUCUCUUGCAGGACAUAGAAGCUGCAGAGAAGUCUUUACAGGCCAGGCUUAAGCCACGCCCACAACCUGCAGUGCGUUCUCUUGAGACUCGUUACUGGGCAUCAGUAGAAGAACAUGUCCCUAAAUGGGAACAGUUCCUUUUAGGCAGAGCACCAUAUCCGAUUGGUGGCGAAAAUCAAAGUGAGGCAGGAAACACCGUUCAAAAUGAGAUGAAGUGAUAACUUAUUCAUACAUUACUCAGAAAACAAAAACAAAAUCCAAAAACAGCUGUUUGAUGAAACUCUGUAAGUCAUGGCAGGAACUUGAGGGAGUAAUGUGCUUUGUUGGUCUCAUUAUUGUCAGUCUGAGAGCCACUGACAGGUCUCAGGUUAGACUACUGCAAGGUCAGUCUGAGAGCCACUGACAGGUCUCAGGUUAGACUACUGCAAGGUCAGUCUGAGAGCCACUGACAGGUCUCAGGUUAGACUACUGCAAGGUUGUAGAUUUGCAAUGGGAGGGUUAAAAGCUAAUGCUAAGACAGAAUGUUUGUUAAGGAUGGUAUUAAAGCAGUGCUGUGUGUGUUAAACAUUCAGCCUCGUUACACCCUGUCUAGUCUUCCAUUAUUCACCAUGAGAACAGGAACAGGGGCUGCUUAGAGUGAUAGAAGUCUGCCUUGCUUAGCUGCCCUUGUCUAACACUAGUUAUCAGAAAGCGGAUCCACAGGACUGGGUGCCUCAGACAGGUUUCGCUGAGAUUCUGACUAAAGGACUCAGUUUCAGGAAGGCUCGGUAUGAUUUUGAAAAAGACCCAUGAGAGCUGGAAGUAGCUACUGCAUUCUGACCGACUUGAAGACUCCCAACCUUGUGAAAACAGCCUCGCCCCUGGGGUUAUCUUCCCACUUGCCCUCCCCUCCCCUCUCUAAAACUUAAAAAUAAAGAAAUACACUCAGGAA
Peromyscus maniculatus bairdii (prairie deer mouse) is the source of this 1859-nucleotide non-coding RNA. Lineage: Eukaryota; Metazoa; Chordata; Mammalia; Rodentia; Cricetidae. The record is from RefSeq and is a predicted model, not a curated record.